Molecule: ribosomal RNA, 777 nt
Filed under: Cytobacillus firmus
Lineage: Bacteria; Bacillati; Bacillota; Bacilli; Caryophanales; Bacillaceae
Description: bacterial SSU rRNA
Rfam family: Bacterial small subunit ribosomal RNA
Source: RNAcentral
GCCCUAAUACAUGCAGUCGAGCGGACUUGACGGAAGCUUGCUUCCGUUCAGUUAGCGGCGGACGGGUGAGUAACACGUGGGUAACCUGCCUGUAAGACUGGGAUAACUCCGGGAAACCGGGGCUAAUACCGGAUAUUCUUUUUCUUCGCAUGAAGAAGAAUGGAAAGGCGGCUUUUAGCUGUCGCUUACAGAUGGACCCGCGGCGCAUUAGCUAGUUGGUGAGGUAACGGCUCACCAAGGCAACGAUGCGUAGCCGACCUGAGAGGGUGAUCGGCCACACUGGGACUGAGACACGGCCCAGACUCCUACGGGAGGCAGCAGUAGGGAAUCUUCCGCAAUGGACGAAAGUCUGACGGAGCAACGCCGCGUGAGUGAAGAAGGUUUUCGGAUCGUAAAGCUCUGUUGUCAGGGAAGAACAAGUACGGAAGUAACUGUCCGUACCUUGACGGUACCUGACCAGAAAGCCACGGCUAACUACGUGCCAGCAGCCGCGGUAAUACGUAGGUGGCAAGCGUUGUCCGGAAUUAUUGGGCGUAAAGCGCGCGCAGGCGGCUUCUUAAGUCUGAUGUGAAAGCCCACGGCUCAACCGUGGAGGGUCAUUGGAAACUGGGAGGCUUGAGUGCAGAAGAGGAGAGCGGAAUUCCACGUGUAGCGGUGAAAUGCGUAGAGAUGUGGAGGAACACCAGUGGCGAAGGCGGCUCUCUGGUCUGUAACUGACGCUGAGGCGCGAAAGCGUGGGGAGCGAACAGGAUUAGAUCCUUUGGUUAGUCCAAAAGG